GAUACCCUAUUAUUUUAAAUGUGAUUUUGUUAGCUAAAAUUAUUAUUAGUUAAGUUCUUUAAAAUUAAAAAUUUUGGCGGUAUUUUAGUCUUUUCAGAGGAACCUGUUUAUUAAUUGAUAUUCCACGAUAAAUUUUACUUAAACUUUAAAUUUAUAUAUCGUCGUUUAUAAAGAUUUUAUUAGAAUUUGAAUUUUUAAUAUUUUAAAUUAAAUAUUAAUUCAGAUCAAGGUGUAGUUUAUGGUUAAGUAUAAAUGGGUUACAUUAAAUUAAUUUUUGGUUUUAAAAUUGAAAAUUUUGAAUAAAUUGGAUUUGAAAGUAAUUUUUAGAUUUUUAUAUAAUGAUUUAGCUCUAAAAUAUGCACACAUCGCC
This 370-nucleotide ribosomal RNA is filed under the name Zeadelium sp. GJK-2014. RNAcentral's name for it is "partial 12S ribosomal RNA". Lineage: Eukaryota; Metazoa; Arthropoda; Insecta; Coleoptera; Tenebrionidae. The record is from RNAcentral.